Molecule: long non-coding RNA, 5161 nt
Organism: Eriocheir sinensis (Chinese mitten crab)
Lineage: Eukaryota; Metazoa; Arthropoda; Malacostraca; Decapoda; Varunidae
Exons: 2
Source: RefSeq, a predicted model, not a curated record
CGCAUCUCGUCACACACCGGCGCGCCCCGACACACCCCUAGUGGUUGUUUAUUAUUAGUACGUACUUCAGUGGAAAGGUUCGAGGCUUAUUGGCAUUGUUUCUGUAUUACGUUUUUUGUUUUGUUUGUCUUUGCAUUCACUUGCGGUUUCGAGCGUCAGAGGAUUUAUGACCUAUUAAGUUUUCAUUUGUUGUAUAGGUUCUUGGUCUAUUCGGUGUUGUUUUUCGUGUUCUUUUCCUUUCUUUUAUUUUUAUUUGUAACUUUUUUUGGGGGGUGCGAAUGAUUCCCCUGAGGAAACGUAACUGACGGUUCGAUGAUGUAAUGUGAUUUCUCUUUUUUUUCUUGUUUUGGUGACCUUUCUUUUUUAGUGUCAAAUGUGGCAUAGAUUUGAGGCAUUAGCAUGACACACACACACACACACACAAACACACACACUUUACAGUUAUGCAAUCUAAUCUACACCAGUUUUCCACCUUUAUAUACACACACACACACACACACACACACACACACACACACACACACACACACUUUACAGUUAUGCAAUCUAAUCUACACCAGUUUUCCACCUUUAUCCACCAGUCCAUUCAUAUUCCUUUUAGUCACCACUUGUUAUAUUAUUGGCACUUUGUGAUAAAUAUGUUCGUGUGUAUGCAUGUGUGCCCUCGUGUGUAUGUGUGUGUGUGUGUGUGUAGGUGUGUGAGAGAUGGGUAUCGUGAACGUAUGAGUGUAUGUGAGAGCGUGACCUGUGUGUGAGUUGUGUACAUAUAUACAUAAAUAUAUAUACAUAGACAAUAGAAUAAUAUGCGUGCGUGUAUACCUUUGUUGAUAUUUUUGAUAACUCUGCUAGUGCUGUUAGCCCCCAGACUGACAUAUACAAAUAUUACUAUAAUAACGAUAAUAAUAUUAAUACUAAUGAUAAUAUAUAUUUUUAUUUUCGUUUGAACGAUUUCUCCGCUGCUUUGAUAUUAACUGUUACUAUAUUACCAUCACCACUACUACUACUACUAUUACUAUGACUAUUACUACUAUUACUAUUCAUGAUGUUAGAUAGGAGUGUUUAUUUUCCCAUCGCUGCUAUCCUUGUGUGUGUGUGUGUCUGUGUGUCUGUGUGUGUGUGUCUCUCAGUUUCUUUCUAUUUCCUUCUUUAUCUUCUUUAUGCUUUCCCAUCAUACCUCAUUAAGCCUUGGAGGAGGAGGAGGAGGAGGAGGAGGUAAACAUAGAAGAAGAGAAGAAGAGGAAGAAGAAGAAGAAGCACGAGACAAUAAGUGAUAAAUAUGCAGAACAAAUCUAAAUGAACAAAACAGUUUUCUCUCUCUCUCUCUCUCUCUCUCUCUCAUCAGAAAAAAAAUCACUGUCCGUCUGUGAAAAUUAACUGUACGUAAUAUUCUUUUUUUCCCCGCUCUCGCUGCCUCGAAACGUAUGACCGCAUAUGUUCCUCUCGCACUUCUUGUAUAUCGUUAUUAUUAUUAUUAUUUCUUCUUUUGUAUAUGCAUCUUUUUUUUAGGGACAGGGAGGGAAAGGAGGAGGGACAGGGAGGGGAAGAAGGAGGAGGGACGGGAGAGGGAUGGGGAGGGAGAGGAGCGUAAGGGAAGAGAGUAGAAAGAUUUUUUUUAGUAAUAUUUAAAGUAACAUAAGGAGUUUGCUGUGUAUACUACCAUUACUACUACCACAACUACUACUACUACUACUACUGCUUCUACUAUAACUACAUAUUGUUAAAAGGGAAGAGGAGGAGGAAGAAGGAGAGGGAGAUAAAAGUUAGAAAAGAGGAAAGAAAAUAAAGAAUUAAAGAUGUGAAGAGAACAGGGAGAAGGAGAAGGAAGGUAGGAAGAAGGGAAGAGGGAAAGAGAGAAUAAUUAAAUAAGUUCUGAAGUAAAGAGGAGAGAGCAAGAAAGGGAGAAAGUGACAUUAGGAAGAAGGAAAGGAAGUGGGAUAGAAUAAAUAAAACAGGUAAUAUAGAAGGAAAAAAGGGAGAAAGGGAGAGAAGUUAAGAGAAAGAAGGGAAAAGGAGUAGAAGGGAGGAAUCUAAAUAAGUAUAUAAACAAAGGAAAAAGAAAAGAGAAUUGAGAGAUGAAGUAGAAGGAAGGAAAGGAGGGAGGUAGAGGGAAAUGAGAGGAAUCUAAACAAAUAUAUAAACAAAGAAAGAGAAGAAAAAAGAAUGGAGAUAUGAAGUGGAGGGAAGGAAAGGAAGGAGGUAGAGGGAAAAAAAGGAAAUCUAAACAAAUAUAUAAACAAAGAAAGAGAAGAAAAAAGAAUGGAGAUAUGAAGUGGAGGGAAGGAAAGGAGGGAGGUAGAGGGAAAUGAAAGGAAUCUAAACAAAUAUAUAAACAAAGAAAGAGAAGAAAAAAGAAUAGAGAGAUGAAGUGGAGGAAAGGAAAGGAGGGAGGUAGAGGGAAAUAAAAGAAUCUAAAAUAUAUAAACAAAGAAAGAAGAAAAAAGAAUAGAGAGAUGAAGUGGAGGAAAGGAAAGGAGGAAGGUAGAGGGAAAUGAAAGGAAUCUAAACAAAUAUAUAAACAAAGAAAGAGAAGAAAAAGAAUAGAGAGAUGAAGUGGAGGGAAAUGAAAGGAAUCUAAACAAAUAUAUAAACAAAGAAAAAGAAGAAAAAAGAAUUGAGAGAUGAAGUAGAGGGAAGGAAACGAGGAAGGGAGUUAGAGGAAAGAACUGAAAAAAAAAGUAUGGAAAUGAAAAGGAGGGAGGGAAGAAUUGCAUAAGACUGAAUAAGUGUAUACAAAAUAUUAGUGUCUUUUUUUCCUUUUGUUCCUUGCAUCGUAUUUUUACUACACACACUAGGAGGGUUUGGACGCGUGACAUUUCUAGUUUAACACCCAUUUUUGGCGUUGUGUUUUCUUUUCCCUUUUAGAAUGUUUACGUAGUCAUUUGAAGGAUGUUUUGAAUUUACCAUUGUGACCUAUUAUUAUUUUUAUUAUUAUUAUUAUUGUGGUUUUAAAUAAUUACGAAUGCUGUUUUCAAGGGAUGUUCUUUAUUAUUAUUAUUAUUAUUAUUAUUAUUAUUAUUAUCAUCAAGUAGCUGUUUUGUUGUUAUUAGUCAGGUUUGUUUGUUUAUUUUCACACACACACACACACACACACACACACACACACAUAUUUUGGAGAGAAGGAAUUGGGAGGAAAUGAUGAAACAAAUCAGAGAAUAUAAAAGAAAAAUUGGGAAACUUAUACAAGGAAUCAUGGAAGAGAAGUUGAUAGGGAGAAAAAUUGUCACAUUACAUUACCUCCUAAAAAAAAAGAGGAGGUAGAGGGGAGGAGGAGGAGGUGACGGAACUAGGAAAUCUAAUUACUAGGACACAGAUAGCUAUUUUAUUACUAUUGUCGAGGGUUGUGCUCUCUGCUUUGCUGUUUUGGUCUCACACACACACACACACACACACACACACACACACACAUAAAGAAAGGUAGGGCUGAAUUUGUAUAUAGAUAUCAGUAGCAUUAAUUUAAAUUGAAAUACUCCACACACAACCAGCCAGAGCUUCCCUAUACACACACACACACACACACACACACACACACACACACACACACACUCCUGGGUUCUUUUCUUCUCUGGCAGAAUACGAUUAGUUAAGUUAUCGCCUCAUUAAAACCUGUUCAUCUCAUCCUUCCUGGCUAAACUUGCCUAUGGAGGUGUUUGUAUAUUGUCCCCACCCACCACCACCACGCCGCGGGAAGGGAUCCAUCCGCCUAUACAAUCAAUAGCAACAUUAAAACAUUUAUUUCACACUCAGAGGUCUUUUAUUUAUACAACCUGUAACCUUACCCAAUUUUGUGCAUGCCCUGUCAAGCUUAGCCCUACCCAGUCCUCCUCUUUCCUCUAUUCAUUUAUUUAAGCAACCUACAACAUCAUUUAGAUAUUUAUUCCACACUCAGAGGUUUUAUUUAUGCAACCUGUAACCUUACCUAACUUUGUGCAUGCCCUGUCAAGCCUAGCCCUACCCGGUCCUACUCUUUCCUCUAUUCAUUUAAGCAAGCUACAGCGUCAUUUAAAUAUUUUUCCCACAUUCAGAGGUCUUCUAUUUAUGCAACCUGUAAUCUUACCUAACUUUGCCCAUGUCCUGUCAAGCUUAGCCCUACCCAGUCCUAGUCUUUCCUCUAUUCAUUGAAGCAAGCUACAGCAUAAUUUAGAUAUUUAUCCCACAUUCAAAGGUCUUCUACCUGUAAUCUUACCUAACUUUGCCCAUGUCCUGUCAAGCUUAGCCCUACAAGGUCCUACUCUUUCCGCUAAUCAUUGAAGCAACUUACAGCAUCAUUUAGAUAUUUAUUCCACACUCAGAGGUUUUAUUUACGUUAUUUAUGCAACCUGUAACCUCACCCAACUUUGUGCAUGCCCUGUCUAACUUAUCCCUACACAGGCUUGCUCUCUCAUUGCCCUUUUGCCACUCUCCUCUAUUCGAUGAUGUAACCAACCAUUAGCAUCUUUCAAGCAUUUAUUUCACUCUUGAACAUCGUUUGAUUACAUAGCCUUGUACCUAGUGCUAUUGUGCACCCCUAAUUGCCUGAACCCUCUCCUGGUCUGCCCUGUCUUAUCCUAGCUUAGCUCUUGUAUCCUGGCCUACCUUGUUCUGGACGAGGUGAAUGAAAUGGUAAAUUUAUGUUUAUGAGUCAUGCUCAAAGGGAGUAAAAAGAAUACAUAUUUCAAGUCUCUAUGGUUGAAAUCCAAUGUUUAUGCUCGGAAUUGCUGGGAUAAGAAAUAUACACUUCUUUUAUGUUGUUGCAAGCUCAGGCAAAUGUUGUGGCAAUGCAAAGGCCAACACGACACAGGUUUCUCCUCUUGUUUCUUUUCUUUCAUUGUUUGUGUUUCAUGUUUUGAGAUGUUUGAACACGACCUAUUAUGAGGUCAUUUGCAGUGUUGUAUAGUCUCUCUCUCUUUUGUUGGGCCUUGUGCUUGCUUAAAGAAUAUAAAAGGCAGUAUCCAUGACUGGUGUUUUUGGUACAGUCACGGUCAGUUGUGGGUAUCCAAGGUUGUCUUCCGGAAGUUAUCAAGCGCUAAUACUUCUUGAUUUUUUAAUUUUCUGGACUUGUUUGUUCAACAGUUUCCCAUUGCCUGGCGAGGAAACUGAAAAAAAAUGGCUGGAGUUAAUGUACACGGAAGUAAUGUUAUUGGGAUUGUGCCUAAUGUUGAAAAAUAACAACUGUGAUGAUUCA